ACUCAUACCUUGCAGGGGAAAUACCAUGUCAUAAAAGUGGCUUUCCCAGGGGGAGGUUUAUCCAUUGCACUUUAGGUAUUCUGCUGAUCCCUGUGAUUUCCCCAAAUAUGGGAAACUCAACUGCAUAAUUUGUGUUAAUGGGAGAUUGUACUUGUGAUUUCUCUGG
RNAcentral lists this small nuclear RNA (166 nucleotides) under Pogona vitticeps (central bearded dragon). RNAcentral's name for it is "U1 spliceosomal RNA (ENSPVIG00000022847.1)". It matches the Rfam family "U1 spliceosomal RNA". Rfam says of the family: U1 is a small nuclear RNA (snRNA) component of the spliceosome (involved in pre-mRNA splicing). Lineage: Eukaryota; Metazoa; Chordata; Lepidosauria; Squamata; Agamidae. The record is from Rfam by way of RNAcentral.